This 433-nucleotide ribosomal RNA is filed under the name uncultured bacterium. RNAcentral's name for it is "partial 16S ribosomal RNA". It matches the Rfam family "Bacterial small subunit ribosomal RNA", at positions 29 to 507 of the family's 1533-position model. The record is from RNAcentral.
AACGAACGCUGGCGGCAUGCCUAACACAUGCAAGUCGAACGAGACCAUCGGGUGUAGUGGCGCACGGGUGCGUAACCGGAGGGAACAGGCCCUUAGGGUCGGCAUAACUCUACGACAGGGGUGCUAAUACCGGAUAAUGUCUACGGACCAAAGAUUUAUCGACUUUGGAUGGGCCCGCGUUGGAGUAGCUGGUUCGUAGGGUAAAAGCCUACCAAGGCGCCGAUUCAUAGCUGGGAUGAGAGGAGGAUCAGCCACACUGUGAGUGAGACCCGGCCCAGACUCCUCCGGAAUGCAGCAGAGGGGAAUAGUGGACCACGGGGUAAGGGAUGAUGCAGUAAUGCCGGUUGAGUUAUGAAGGCCGUAGGGUUGUAAUGCUCUUGUAACCGUGCUGAUAAUGACAGUACCGAGAGAAUAAGCUCCGGCUAACUCCGUG